This 253-nucleotide ribosomal RNA is filed under the name uncultured bacterium. RNAcentral's name for it is "partial 16S ribosomal RNA". It matches the Rfam family "Bacterial small subunit ribosomal RNA", at positions 524 to 776 of the family's 1533-position model. The record is from RNAcentral.
UACGUAGGGUGCGAGCGUUGUCCGGAAUUAUUGGGCGUAAAGAGCUUGUAGGCGGUCUGUCGCGUCUGCUGUGAAAACCCGGGGCUCAACCCCGGGCCUGCAUUCGAUACGGGCAGACUAGAGUUCGGUAGGGGAGUCUGGAAUUCCUGGUGUAGCGGUGAAAUGCGCAGAUAUCAGGAGGAACACCGGUGGCGAAGGCGGGACUCUGGGCCGAUACUGACGCUGAGGAGCGAAAGCGUGGGGAGCAAACAGG